Molecule: transfer-messenger RNA, 355 nt
Filed under: Dehalococcoidales bacterium
Lineage: Bacteria; Bacillati; Chloroflexota; Dehalococcoidia; Dehalococcoidales
Rfam family: transfer-messenger RNA
About the family: Bacterial tmRNA, also known as 10Sa RNA or SsrA, is named for its dual tRNA and mRNA-like properties. Its role is to liberate the mRNA from a stalled ribosome.
Source: RNAcentral
GGGGGCGCGUGGAUUCGACAAGGGAGGUAUGCUACAGGAUUGCAAGCUGAGGUGCCGCUACCCUCACAAAACAAGUGGCAAAAAAUAACUGGCAAAGAACCAGUAUUAGUUGCUGCCUAAUUAAAUAGGCAACACAUCCAACCUGACCUCACCUCAACGGGUCGGGAUUGGGUGACGAUUAGUUGAGGUGCCAUCACCCGGAUGUCAAUAAGGGUGGCGAAAGAACAAUUGACUGGCCUGGCUAAACUCGGUCAGCAGAGGCUAGCCAGGUAAGAUAAAAGAGCUGACUAAGCUUGUAGUAGAUUCUGGGUAGCUUCUCUUGGACGGGGAGUUCGACUCUCCCCCGCCUCCACCA